GACGAACGCUGGCGGCGUGCUUAACACAUGCAAGUCGAACGGAAAGGCCCUGCUUUUGUGGGGUGCUCGAGUGGCGAACGGGUGAGUAACACGUGAGUAACCUGCCCUUGACUUUGGGAUAACUUCAGGAAACUGGGGCUAAUACCGGAUAGGAGCUCCUGCUGCAUGGUGGGGGUUGGAAAGUUUCGGCGGUUGGGGAUGGACUCGCGGCUUAUCAGCUUGUUGGUGGGGUGGUGGCUUACCAAGGCUUUGACGGGUAGCCGGCCUGAGAGGGUGACCGGCCACAUUGGGACUGCGAUACGGCCCAGACUCCUACGGGAGGCAGCAGUGGGGAAUAUUGCACAAUGGGCGGAAGCCUGAUGCAGCAACGCCGCGUGCGGGAUGACGGCCUUCGGGUUGUAAACCGCUUUCGCCUGUGACGAAGCGUGAGUGACGGUAAUGGGUAAAGAAGCACCGGCUAACUACGUG
RNAcentral lists this ribosomal RNA (468 nucleotides) under uncultured bacterium. RNAcentral describes it as "partial 16S ribosomal RNA". It matches the Rfam family "Bacterial small subunit ribosomal RNA", at positions 28 to 507 of the family's 1533-position model. The record is from RNAcentral.